GACGAACGCUGGCGGCGUGCUUAACACAUGCAAGCCGAACGGUAAGGCCCUUCGGGGUACACGAGUGGCGAACGGGUGAGUAACACGUGGGUGAUCUGCCCUGCACUUCGGGAUAAGCCUGGGAAACUGGGUCUAAUACCGGAUAGGACCACUGCCUGCAUGGGUGGUGGUGGAAAGCUUUUGCGGUGUGGGAUGGGCCCGCGGCCUAUGAGCUUGUUGGGGGGGUGAUGGCCUACCAAGGCGACGGCGGGUAGCCGGCCUGAGAGGGUGACCGGCCACAGUGGGACUGAGAUACGGCCCAGACUCCUACGGGAGGCAGCAGGGGGGAAUAUUGCACAAUGGGCGCAAGCCUGAUGCAGCGACGCCGCGUGAGGGAUGACGGCCUUCGGGUUGUAAACCUCUUUCAGCACCGACGAAGCGCAAGUGACGGUAGGUGCAGAAGAAGGACCGGCCAACUACGUGCCAGCAGCCGCGGUAA
This 478-nucleotide ribosomal RNA is filed under the name uncultured bacterium. RNAcentral's name for it is "partial 16S ribosomal RNA". It matches the Rfam family "Bacterial small subunit ribosomal RNA", at positions 28 to 523 of the family's 1533-position model. The record is from RNAcentral.